GAUGAACGCUGGCGGCGUGCCUAACACAUGCAAGUCGAGCGAUUUACUUCGGUAAAGAGCGGCGGACGGGUGAGUAACGCGUGGGUAACCUGCCCUGUACACACGGAUAACAUACCGAAAGGUAUGCUAAUACGAGAUAAUAUGCUUUUAUCGCAUGGUAGAAGUAUCAAAGCUUUUGCGGUACAGGAUGGACCCGCGUCUGAUUAGCUAGUUGGUGAGGUAACGGCUCACCAAGGCGACGAUCAGUAGCCGACCUGAGAGGGUGAUCGGCCACAUUGGAACUGAGACACGGUCCAAACUCCUACGGGAGGCAGCAGUGGGGAAUAUUGCACAAUGGGCGAAAGCCUGAUGCAGCAACGCCGCGUGAGCGAUGAAGGCCUUCGGGUCGUAAAGCUCUGUCCUCAAGGAAGAUAAUGACGGUACUUGAGGAGGAAGCCCCGGCUAACUAC
Molecule: ribosomal RNA, 449 nt
Filed under: uncultured bacterium
Lineage: Bacteria
Description: bacterial SSU rRNA
Rfam family: Bacterial small subunit ribosomal RNA
Source: RNAcentral